GUUCCUGUAGUGUAGUGGUUAUCAUGUUUGCUUUACACGCAAAAGGUCUCUGGUUCAAAACCAGACCGAAAACA
Non-coding RNA from Poecilia formosa (Amazon molly), 74 nucleotides. The record is from Rfam. Lineage: Eukaryota; Metazoa; Chordata; Actinopteri; Cyprinodontiformes; Poeciliidae.